This 119-nucleotide small RNA is filed under the name Caulobacter vibrioides NA1000. RNAcentral's name for it is "small non-coding RNA". Lineage: Bacteria; Pseudomonadati; Pseudomonadota; Alphaproteobacteria; Caulobacterales; Caulobacteraceae. The record is from RNAcentral.
GCAUGGCGAUGGGCGACCGACCCGCUCCUCGCAAACCGUGCCGGAACCUAUCCCCUCCCGGCGGCGGCAUGAGAGACUAGACUUUCGCCCAGAUGCUCGACGCAUCUGGGCGUUUUUCU